This 460-nucleotide ribosomal RNA is filed under the name uncultured bacterium. Its description in RNAcentral is "bacterial SSU rRNA". It matches the Rfam family "Bacterial small subunit ribosomal RNA", at positions 29 to 524 of the family's 1533-position model. The record is from RNAcentral.
AGUGAACGUUGGCGGCGUGGAUUAGGCAUGCAAGUCGAGCGAUCGUAGCAAUACGGGAGCGGCAAACGGGGUAGGAAUACAUCGGAACGUACCUUUUGGUUGAGAAUAGCGUUGGGAAACUGACGGUAAUACUCAAUAAAGUCGAGAGACCAAAGGUUUACUGCCGGAAGAGCGGCCGAUGCGAUAUUAGGUAGUUGGUGGGGUAAUGGCCUACCAAGCCUGAGAUGUCUAGGGGGUGUGAGAGCAUGGCCCCCACCACUGGGACUGAGAUACUGCCCAGACACCUACGGGUGGCUGCAGUCGAGGAUCUUCGUCAAUGGGCGAAAGCCUGAACGAGCGACGCCGCGUGCGGGAUGAAGGCCCUUGGGUUGUAAAACCGCUGUCAGGGGGGAUGAAACCGUAAGGUUGACAGAGCCCCAGAGGAAGCACGGGCUAAGUUCGUGCCAGCAGCCGCGGUAAU